GAUGAACGCUGACAGAAUGCUUAACACAUGCCAGUCUUUGGCGAAGCUGUGCCUGCACAGCCUAGCCAAGGCGGACGGGUGAGUAACGCGUAAGGAACUUGCCCUGCAGUCAGGGAUAACAGACGGAAACGACUGAUAAGACCUGGUAAAGUCAGGCGGACUCAUGUCCAGCCUGAUGAAAAGAGAUGCUGCAGGAGAGCCUUGCGUCCUAUUAGCUUGUUGGUGGGGUAACGGCCCACCAAGGCGAUGAUAGGUAGCCGGCCUGAGAGGGUGGACGGCCACAAGGGGACUGAGAUACGGCCCUUACUCCUACGGGAGGCAGCAGUGGGGAAUAUUGGACAAUGGGGGCAACCCUGAUCCAGCAAUUCUGUGUGCACGAUGAAGGUUUUCGGAUUGUAAAGUGCUUUCAGCAGGGAAGAAAAAAAUGACGGUACCUGCAGAAGAAGCGACGGCUAAAUACGUG
This 463-nucleotide ribosomal RNA is filed under the name uncultured bacterium. RNAcentral's name for it is "partial 16S ribosomal RNA". It matches the Rfam family "Bacterial small subunit ribosomal RNA", at positions 28 to 507 of the family's 1533-position model. The record is from RNAcentral.